Long non-coding RNA from Pan troglodytes (chimpanzee), 2855 nucleotides. RefSeq lists it as uncharacterized. The record is from RefSeq and is a predicted model, not a curated record. The transcript has 2 exons. Lineage: Eukaryota; Metazoa; Chordata; Mammalia; Primates; Hominidae.
GAGAAUUGGAACUAUUUCAGAGUCAGAGCAGGAUAGUGGCGGCGGCAAACUUUGCCUGGUAGUUUUUACUGAUUGGGGUGCUGGCGCGCGCCUUUUUCUCGGCCAGAAUCCAGUUAUUGGGAUAGUCUUGGCUUCUACCUCAGCCCCACUUCUGUGGUCGUAAUAUUAGUUUAGCUUGGGUUUGCCGUGAAGUAAGAAGACUGACUUCCGCAAACGUACGGAACGACUGGGUGUAGGUGCCAGGGCAUGGACGUGAAGCUGGAGCCGCGAAAUGAGUUAGUUGUGGGCCGCUGGCCUCAAGGAGCGAACGUCAGCGCGAAGAGGAGAAGCUUGUGCAUACGCUCUGAUAAGGGUUUUAAUAGAGAGAUGGAAUCUCGCUGUGUCACCCAGGCUGGAAUGCAGUGACUCGAUCAUAACUCACUAUGACCUCGAACUCCCAGGCUAAAGCAGUCCUCAAGCAAUCCUUCCACCUCAGCCUUCUGAGUAGCUGGGAGUAGCUGAUUAACUAAUGUGUGCCACCACGCCCAGCUAAUUUGUGUAUGUGUGUGCACACGUGUAGAGCUAGGGGUCUUGCUAUGUUGCUCAGGCUAGUCUUGAACUCCUGGCCUCAAGCAGUCUUCUUGCCUUGACCUCUCAAACCAGUGGGACUGUAGGUGUGAGCCAUUGCUCCUGGCUGAGCACUGUUUUUUUUUAGGACAGACUGUAUUCAUUGUUGCAAUCUUCAGCUUUUGGAACAUCGUCUAGGACAGAGAAGCUGCACAAUAUGUAUUUAUCGAAUGAGUGAAUGAUACUUUUGGGAGAGAAGACAGUGGGUUGGAGAAAUAUUUUGGAAGAAUUGGAAAUUUUAGGUGGACCUUGAAGAAAGGGUAAAAUUCAAUUAGGACACAAGCAGUGAUCAAAAGCAUUGAGUUGGGAACAAAGUGGUAGGAUGUGGGAGUUAGUAUGUAGUAAAAACAACUAAAAUAUAGAAAGAGAUUAUGUGUUUAAUAGAAAUAGGAUUGACUAAAGUGAAUCCACGUUGUAUCUGUAAGAGGUCCAUCGUUGAACUUUAUUUUUUUUUGUUUUGUUUUUGAGACAGGGUCUCACUCUGUUAUCUAGGCUGGAGUGUGGUGGCACAAUCUCAGCUCACUGCAGCCUCAGCCUCCCAGGUUCAAGUGAUUCUCCUGCUUCAGCCUCCCAUGUAGGGAUUACAGGCCUGCACCACCACACCUGGCUAAUUUUUGUAUUUUUAGUACAGACAGGAUUUCACCAUGUUGGCCAGGCUGGUCUCGAACUCCUGACUUCAAGUGAUCCACCCGCCUCGGCCUUCCAGAGUGCUGGGAUUACAGGCCUGAGCCACUGCACCCAGCCACCUGUAUUUAUUUUUGAGACAGGGUCUUGUUCUGUCGCCUUGGCUGGAGUGCAGUGGUGCAAUCAUGGCUCACUGCAGCCUUGACUUCCCAGGCUCAAUGAAUAGCUGGGACUACAGGUGUGCACCACCAUACCCGGCUAAUUUUUGUAUUUCUUGUAGAGAUGGUGUUUCGCCAUCUUGCCCAAGCUGGUCUCAAACUCCUGGCCUCAAGUGAUCCACCUGUCUAGGCCUCCUACAGUGCUGGGAUUACAGGGUUGAGCCACCACACCCAGCCUCAUGGUUGAACUUUAGGAGAGCUGUACAUCUCCUCCUUAUAAUACAUGCAAAACUUCAUGUGUCCAUUUUUUUCUGAGUUGAAGUUUCAUAGUUUUCAUCCAAUUCUCAAAGGUGUUUAUAAACCAAUAAAGGUUAAGAAUCAUGUGCAUUUGAAAGACUAAUAGAAAGGCUUAAGCUUAAUGCUGUAGCAAAUUAGUCUUCAAAAGUUUUCUACCAUAGCAUUCAUUAGGAACAGAAGAGGGGGAAUGAGACCCUAAGAUUUAGAGAUGAAGUCUGAAACUUAGGACUUUAUAUUUAUCUGAACAUCAUAUGUAAAUUUUACUAUUAUGGGACUGGUAUUAAUGCUUCCUUAUAAAAAUAUAUUUAGCCUCAUCAGUGAUCAGGGAACCAUAUUUGGGACCAGUCUGUUCAGUUGGCAAAAAUUAAAAAGGCCAUCAUAUCAGAAAGGAGAAGGUAAAAUGAUUUGUUCACAGACAACAUGAUCUUUUAUGUACAAAACCCUAAAGAUUCCACCCAAAAAACCCUGUUAGAACUAAAAAACAAAGUUGCAGGAUGCAAAACCACACAAAAUUUAGUUGCAUUUCGAUGUAAAAUUUAAAAAGGAAAUCUUAAAAAUUCCAUUUACAACAGCAUCAGAACUAAAAUACUUGUGAAUAAAUUUAACCAAAGAGGCAAGACUUGUACACUGACAACUACAAACAUUGCUGAAUGAAAUUAAAGAAUACACAAAUAAGUGGAAUGACGCACUGUGUUCAUAGAUUGAAACAGUUAAUAUUAAGAUGUUGAUACUACUCAAAGUGAUCUACAGAUUCAUUAUGUAAUCCCUGUCAAAAUCCCAGUGACAUUUUUUCAGAAAUAGAAAAAUUCAUCCUAAAAUGUAUAUGAAAACUCAGAGUACCCCAAAUAGCCAAACAAUUUUGCAAGAGAACAAAGUUGAAGGUCUCAUGCUUCCUGAUUUCAAAAUUUAACUAUAAAGCUACAGUAAUCAAAACACUGUAGUCCUAGCAUAAAGACAGACAUAUAGAAUAAAGAACCCAGAACUAAACCCUCACAUAUAUGGUCAAUUGAUUUUUGACAAGGUUGUCAAGACCAGUCAAUCAAUGGAGAAAGGAUAUUCAGUUUUCUCCAUUUUUACAUGUGGAUAUCCAGUUUUCCCAACACCAUGUAUUUAAAAGAUAAAUAACCUAAAUGAUAAAUCUAAAUGUCUAAAAAAUAAACAAUCUAAAAA